Molecule: long non-coding RNA, 806 nt
Filed under: Homo sapiens (human)
Lineage: Eukaryota; Metazoa; Chordata; Mammalia; Primates; Hominidae
Description: non-protein coding PVT1:20
Rfam family: Pvt1 oncogene conserved region 2 (bases 8-172)
Source: RNAcentral
CCCUAAGGACCAUAGCUGUCUGCAGUGCAGGAAGCCAACUAUUAAGGGGAAACAAAAGUGUUCUUAGGAGUCCUGCUGUCACUGUGGAUUGAGCCGGUGAAGCCCUGAGGGAUUUCAUCGCUGAGGUGGAUGGAGAAGCAGCUGGGGGCCUUGGCUGUAAGGACCCCUAAGGGCCUGAUCUUUUGGCCAGAAGGAGAUUAAAAAGAUGCCCCUCAAGAUGGCUGUGCCUGUCAGCUGCAUGGAGCUUCGUUCAAGUAUUUUCUGAGCCUGAUGGAUUUACAGUGAUCUUCAGUGGUCUGGGGAAUAACGCUGGUGGAACCAUGCACUGGAAUGACACACGCCCGGCACAUUUCAGGAUACUAAAAGUGGUUUUAAGGGAGGCUGUGGCUGAAUGCCUCAUGGAUUCUUACAGCUUGGAUGUCCAUGGGGGACGAAGGACUGCAGCUGGCUGAGAGGGUUGAGAUCUCUGUUUACUUAGAUCUCUGCCAACUUCCUUUGGGUCUCCCUAUGGAAUGUAAGACCCCGACUCUUCCUGGUGAAGCAUCUGAUGCACGUUCCAUCCGGCGCUCAGCUGGGCUUGAGGACUUCGCAGGUGAGCAGUAACGGAAAUCAGCCCCGUUUAUUCCUCCCAGCACCUGCCUUAUCCAACUCCCCACGCUGUGGCUGAGUCCCAGCCUGCUAUGGAAGCAUCACUGGACUCCCAUUGAACUCUGUGCAGAUUCGCUGUUCGUAGACAUGGUACCUGAUGGACACCAAGCUACGUACAGCUUCAAGGCCCCUUCUUUCUUUGCUAAUAAAAAAUAAAA